Manis pentadactyla (Chinese pangolin) is the source of this 1631-nucleotide long non-coding RNA. RefSeq lists it as uncharacterized. The record is from RefSeq and is a predicted model, not a curated record. NCBI's taxonomy places the organism in Eukaryota, Metazoa, Chordata, Mammalia, Pholidota, Manidae. The transcript is spliced from 4 exons.
GGCCUCCUUCACUGGAUCCAGGAAGUGGUUGUUGCCUGGGAGAACUAGACCCAGAGUCCUGGCUUCUUGUAGAAGGAGGAGCAGCUGUGAAUUGGGGUUCCUGACUGAUGGAUGAUCACCAUAGGCUCACAUCGUGUCCACCAUUUUCAAUCCUCACAGAGCUGGGUUGAGAAGAUAAUUCCAGAAGUUGACACAGCUACCUUCUACAGAAGUUUGUAUGUCUGACAUUUGAUUGCAAAUUGCAGCGGUCCAAGGCUUUGAAGCUCAAGUGUUGAAAGUCAGCAAAGCUGGGACAUUUCUCCGUGCACAGCACAAUGCAGACCAGAAAAGAAUGUGGAUCUCCCCAAGACCCAGAGAGAAGAGGAAAUGCCUUUUCACCACAGCCCAGUGCUAGAUCCUCUCAUUUCCUGUGCUGGGACCUGCCUUUACCAGGACAUCUGACAGAGGGGCCGUUCAUCCAGGUCCGAAAGGACUGCUCCACCACCAGGACAGCCCUGCUCCUGGGCCCUGGAGAAUGGGUGUCACCGAGCCCAGGGCACUGGCUUCAUCUCUGUGUGGGCCAUGUUGAGGGGCCAGUCCCUCCACAUCAGGUAGCACUCACGUUUGCCCAGAACAUCUACGCCUGGGUUCCUGGUGGCUGCACAGUCUCUGGGGGUCAUAUGUGGGCCUUUGCUGCUCUCAGGGUGGUUUCCUCAGAAAAAGGCAAAUCUGCCUCUGGGACGGAUUUAAGAAUUACUCUGCCUUAUGGACAUCAGCUGUUUGGAGCCUUGGAGAGCAGCUCAUCCAGAGCCAGAAAGUUUCCAGGCUCAGGAGCCAGCUAGGCCUCCAGGUGGGUCCUGUGCGCACGUCUGUCCCUGCUCACCACACCAGCCCUGUUAAAGCUCUCCAUUCCCUCCAGACCUCCUGCCCUACCACCUGCCCUCCAUUCUUGUCAGCUGCCCUCAUUUGGGGAGAAAAUGUAACCAGAAACCUGGCACCUCAGGCUUCUAUCCACACAACUCUGCACAGAGGCAUGGUGGCUCCCGGCCUCUCCUCCCUUUCUCCUGCCACACGGGGGCUCACUGCCCCACCAAGCCUGGCUCUCCCGUAUUCAGACUGCUGGCUGUGGAAGGCAGGCUCUAGAAAGUCUCUGGUUCCACCUGGUUUGCCCUCGCUUGCUCCUUCAUUUACUUGCUCCCCUGGAAGCUGGUGGUCAUGUGGGUGGUCAUGUAUGGAGAGGUCCACGAAGACAGGAACUGAGGGCAGCCUUGAGCCCACAGCCAGCAAGGAACUGAUUUCCUCAGUCCAACAGCCUGAGAGGAACGGAAUCCUGCCAAGAACCAUGUGAGUCAGCCAGGAAGCGGGCCCUGCCUCAGCUGAGCCUUCAGAUGAGACUGCAGUCCUGGCCGACACCAUGAGCCGGAAGACCCAAGAAAGCCUGCCCCGAUUCCCUACUCAUAAGACCUGUGAAAUAAUAAUGCUUAUUAUGUUAAACAGCUUAAUUUUGGAGUAAUUUACAACAUAGCUAUAGAUAACAAAUACAGUGGCUCUCAGACUUGUCAAUUUCUCAGCCCUGAAAAUGUUGAAAAACUUUGGGGAUCCACAUUCCACAUUAAGUUGCCACCUUUUUAUUUUAUAAAAUAAAGACUUGA